Molecule: ribosomal RNA, 472 nt
Filed under: uncultured bacterium
Lineage: Bacteria
Description: partial 16S ribosomal RNA
Rfam family: Bacterial small subunit ribosomal RNA
Source: RNAcentral
GACGAACGCUGGCGGCGUGCUUAACACAUGCAAGUCGAGCGGAAAGGCCCUUCGGGGUACUCGAGCGGCGAACGGGUGAGUAACACGUGAGUAAUCUGCCCUUGGCUUUGGGAUAACUACCGGAAACGGUGGCUAAUACCGGAUACGACAACCGUCUGCAUGGGCUGGUUGUUGAAAGUUUUUUCGGCCAGGGAUGUGCUCGCGGCCUAUCAGCUUGUUGGUGGGGUAAUGGCCUACCAAGGCUUCGACGGGGAGCCGGCCUGAGAGGGUGACCGGCCACACUGGGACUGAGACACGGCCCAGACUCCUACGGGAGGCAGCAGUGGGGAAUAUUGGACAAUGGGCGGAAGCCUGAUCCAGCAACGCCGCGUGAGGGAUGACGGCCUUCGGGUUGUAAACCUCUUUCAGUACCGACGAAGCGCCGAUGAUGGUGGUGACGGUAGGUACAGAAGAAGCACCGGCCAACUACGUG